UUCUUUGGUAGCUGGCUUGUGCUUCGUGCAGUUGGAUGCUUUCCACCCAAACCACGUUGGCUGGCUGUAAAACCUGCUGGCUGUUCAUUCCUGCUUGUUCUGAGAUGCACGUGGGUGAAGGGUCACGUCCAUCGCUUAGUUAAAAGCUCUCCUGAACAACCUUUCAAACCAAAGCCCCAAAGGGUAAGAAGUCAGAGACCUGCCUGAAGAAGAGCAGAGUAGCCCUCGGUCAGCGCUGUCACCUGGAGGAGGGAUUCCUCGCGGCGCUCGGGCAGCAAUUGUUGCCGAGUUUUUGCAAAGAGCCGUGUCCUGCAGCCCGAUCAUUGUUUGGUGACCAGCAGCUGGGGAUGACUGAUACAAGACAGGAAUUUCCUGCGCUUCCUCUUCCCUGUUGUCCUCAGCACCUUAUUUCCUACACGCGUGCAGAGCGUUCAUGCUGGGAGCCAGCUGAAGUGCCAAAGGUGCCACAGAAGCAGCGAGUUGGAGCCAGCUUUGUCGCCAGGUGGCAGCGUGGGAGCAGGAAAGGGUUCCUUUCCUCUCCUGGAAACACCAGAAGGGAAUCUGCUUUUCCUGGGUAGAGGAAAAAGAUGGUCGUGCACAGGGCUCCCUGGGUGACUACGUUCCUUUGAAAAUAACUCAGAAGUCAUCAUGGUCACACAACUGCUGAGGAAAGCACGAAACCUCAGGUGGGACUUCUUCAACACACCAUUCCCAGAGAAGACACCAUUGCUGCAGUCUCAGUGGGGUACGCUGCACAGAGUGCAGUCAGGAGGUCACCAGAUAAUGAAAAAAAGAGCAUGAAAAAAACGAAGCCACAAGGACUCUGUUCUCUUACUGCCUAUUUGUGGUAAACGUGCCUUUGUGCAUUAGUAGUCUGUAUGUUUGCUGCGUUACUACAAACACGAGAUGCAUGGAUGUGCCUUUUUUACAGUGGAACACCUCUGAGAAGGCUUCAAAGUUCUGCAGAGAUCCCAUCACCCUGAACAAAGAGAAGGAACUUAGUUACACGGAUGCAGUGCACGGAGACCAUUGCUCUGGAAAACAGAAAGCUAUGUCCACGAGGUGAUUUACAGUCAGAUAACCCAGUUCCAGCAAUGAGCCACUCUCUCCUUUUGUGCUGUAUUGGUGGAAAGCGUUGAAGCGAGUGAUACUAUCAGUAAAUAAACCCACCUGUACUUCAGAGGGCUGUGAACAUCUGUCUUUAUUGACUGGCUGGCAUAUUCUGGUCUGUAGGAACCACACCAAACCUAGACAAGGAAAAUUGAUAAUUAGUGGGUCAGCAUUAAAAGGAUUUCAAUUCUGAUACUUUCUCCCUGUUUUUCAAAGUUUUUUUUCCUAAGAGCCAUCCCCUUCGUUACAAUAUAGCUGGGAGUGUGUUUUAUAGAGGAAACAGAAUAGCUACAACAACUUUGCAAGCAGAACUCAAUACUGAUUUUCUCCCUAAAUUCUAGACUAACCCAAUUUAUACUUUCACGUAGCAUGUAAUGAGUAUCCAAGGGUUAUUACCUGGGCAAAGUUGAGGAAGAAAAGCUGUUUGUGGGACAGAUUCAGUCCAGGCAACUUUGGUUCCUUCCCUUCUCGUUCCAGCCAUUUUAAAUAAGCCUACAAAUUAUCACAGAUUCAAUUCAGAGAAUGGCAUAUUCAAACAUGAUGAGUAUUUUGAAUGUUACUUUAGGGCUAGAGAUUUCAGUCACAAUGUAUGUGAACCCAGCAUGACUUUCAUUCUGUAUUUUUGUAGUUUUCAUCUUUCUGAUACAAAGAGAAUGAUUAAUUUUUUUGGGG
Molecule: long non-coding RNA, 1782 nt
Organism: Oxyura jamaicensis (ruddy duck)
Lineage: Eukaryota; Metazoa; Chordata; Aves; Anseriformes; Anatidae
Exons: 6
Source: RefSeq, a predicted model, not a curated record